This is a long non-coding RNA of Parus major (Great Tit), 3076 nucleotides long. RefSeq lists it as uncharacterized. The transcript has 2 exons. NCBI's taxonomy places the organism in Eukaryota, Metazoa, Chordata, Aves, Passeriformes, Paridae. The record is from RefSeq and is a predicted model, not a curated record.
GUCAGCCUUCUAUAAGCCGUUCCAGAGCACCUCUGUGAACAUUGGCACAGCUGUUCCUAGGGCUGCACACCGCAUACUCACGCACGGCUUCUCCCUUCAAGCAUCUCAACUAAACUUAAAUGCCCUCUCCAGGAAGCGGAAACCCGGGCACUCACGCUGAAUUCCCUCGGUUCUCUCGGGGCUGGCGCUUGGAUCCUCACAGAGCUCUUUUUGUCCGCCGGGUCUCCGAGGGCUGUGCCUGCAGGGUAUGCUCGUCCGCUCCAAGCUGCUGCGGGGCUCUCCCCGCGGAAACAUUCCGCGGAAGUCUGCGGCUGGGAACGGCAGAGAGCCUUCCCUCUCCCAGGAGCCGAGCUCCGAGCUCGACAGACGCCUGUUACCAAAUCUAUAUAAAUAUAUAUGGAUGGAUGCAUACAUAUGCAUACACAUACAUGUGUCUAUGCGGGGGCAUCUGUAGGGUAUAUAUAUGUGUAUGCACAUAUUUAGUAAUUUUUCAGCGUCGCCCUUCCCCCCGCCCGCCUCCACCCCUCUCGCAGCCCCCUCCCCUCCUUGACAGCUGCCCCCCACGGAGCGCCGUGUGUCGCCGACCCGAGUGAGGGGCCAGCGCCACAUCGGCCCCCCUCAGCCGCACCCCACACGCCCCCCAGACAGGGGGACGAGCCGUCCUGCCGCCCCCUCGCCCUGCACACCUCCCUCCAUCCUUCCUCCACCUCUCCCUCCAGCCCUCCCUCAAUGCACACCUCCCGUCCCAGCGCUACAGCCCAAACUUCUUCCCGCCGCCCCCGCGCCCUAAAACAUCGCUGGGGAUUUACUGGCGUUCUCACGCUGUUUUCAAACUCGGAGAGAUGGAUCAGAAGGGACAGAAGGAACCGGCAGCACUUCAGGACAUCCUCCUCCCAGGGACGAGAGGUCGCGCUACAAGUUCGCCUGGCAGCCGGAAUGGGAAGAGUGUUUUUGGUUAACACUAUUGUUUUUCCUGAUGUUUCUUGGUUUUGUUUUUGUUUUUCUUUUUAACUGCUGUUGACCGGCUGCUUGGUUUGGACAAAAGUUGCACAAAUUAUCAGUGCCUCCUAGAAAGAAGAUUCAGAUGAAACAGUUCUUCAGAAGUUAAGGAGGAAAACAUCUUAUGAAACUCGACCUUUUGCUUCACUGUUUUUUUAUUUUUUUAUUUUUUUUAAAAAAAGUUUCCAAAGAAAUGUGAGCUUUUCUUCAUCUCUAGGAAAAAAAAAAAAAAAAAAAAAAAGUAGCCAUUACCCUUCUCUACACUAGAUAUUUCUAAUUUGCUCUGUCAGAGUGGGACUAUGAGAGGUUUUGGUGCAAAUUCAUUAUCUCUGCAAGGCACAACGUAUAGUAGGAACUGAAAAAGACCGUGGCAAUGGAUGAACAAUAGGGCUUCAGUUCAUCAGCAACAAAAGCGCUGGGGAAAUUGGUUGAAUUUCAGAGCACGUCCUCCUCAGCAGAGAGGGCUGGACUAGACCUUGGCCAACCCUCCAAAAAACUUGCAGAACCUCACAUACAACAGUUCACUUUCUACUCUGGGGCAUAGGAAUCAGUGUGGGAAAACAAACAAACAAAAAAAAUAAUGGCAGACCGAAGUCAGCUUUCUUCAUGUCUUUCCCGUUUACAUGGAUGGAAGAUUUUAAAAUAUUUUAGAAUCGUUGGAGCAAGACCACCACCAUGGAGCUAAGGGGCACUUUUAAAUAGGGAUGGCGAGGGGAAACACGUGUAUUUGUCGAGACCUGAAAUAACUUUUUCUGCUCCGGGGGGGCUUGGCCGUGGGAAUCUUUGUUUUGUCACCGGAGGCUCAACUCACCCCCAAUAUGUGGGGUAAAAUCUUUCUCUGAUAAAGGCGAAGAUAUGUAAGUACUGCAGUGUUUCCGUAUGUGUGUGUUUGUCCUGAGCUCCCUGCAAAAUUUGGGAUGCUGAAGCCCGGAGAGAUGGAGGUUUCCCGGGUCCCCGUGAGGCCGCGAUGAGGCCGGCUCUCCCCGGGACGCGGGAGAGGGUCUCCCAGCAUGGAUCUGGCUGCCUUCUCUCGCUCCAGGCUAGGGACAUUGGAUGAGGAAGGCAGGGUUUAUGACUGGACACAGCGGCGUAGGCCGUUUUGUGCGUCCGAUGCUAAACCUGUUGGUCGUACGGCUGUGUUUAUUUGCGGAAAAUGUUAAUUAUGUAGCAGACUGCCAGCGGAUGCUGAGCUGUGGCUUCCCAGGGAGUUUUCUUGCAGUGCCUGGUUGCUCUCGGAAGGUGUGCAGGCACAAGGUUGCCUGGGAAAUAAUGAUAAUAAUAAUGACAAUGAUAACGUUUUAGCUGAGGCUGUUGUGAUGGAUAUAAUGCAAUGAAAACCAGAAACUUACGUUGUAUUUAUCUCCCCCCGUGGCCCUUGAUAAACUCGCAGAGCUGUAAAAGAGACUAUGCUUUCCUGGUAAUUCCGGUUUCAGGACAUCAUCAGUCAGGAACAUGUGGAAAAUCUGGCGGGGAAAGGCUGGAAUAAUAUGUUUUGCAUGUUUUGAACUGAAGGCUAGGUGGAGCCCCCAACCUUUAUUAGUGGCAGCUUAUAAUACACAAAUCCCAGAUCUGCCUCUAUAGUUUUGGUCCCUUCUGUUCAGCAGUCCCAAAAAAUACUUUUAGCCUUUUAUUUCCGAGUGUAAUUCUCGAGAAGUAAUGAUGCAGUUAAAAUGUGUAUGUAUUAUAAUAUUUAUACUAUUUCCUGUAAAUAUUGAUUACAGUCUUUAACCCUGUAGAUCCAGGAGUAUAUCACUCAUAUCUCGUUUGUGUCAUCUUAAAUCAUCUGCAGGAAAUGUGGCUAGUUUUUUGCCACCUUUAAUCUAGGGUCGAGUGUUUUGGUGAUUUAUCUAAUAAUCCCAAAAGUUAAUAUAUUCAUUACCUUGUAUUCACAUAGAUUUUUCCAUUCGCAUAUAUUUCUGGAAGAAGGCAUUUAAAUUAUGAUCCUUUGCUUUUUGGGGGGCUAUUUUUCAGGUUUAAACAAUGCAGACAGACCACAGGUAGUAACAAUUGCAUCAAGAAAUGGUAAUUUUUGUUUGUUUGUUUGUUUGUUUAAUAAAAGACAAUAUUAUAAACAUUA